This 246-nucleotide ribosomal RNA is filed under the name uncultured bacterium. RNAcentral describes it as "partial small subunit ribosomal RNA". It matches the Rfam family "Bacterial small subunit ribosomal RNA", at positions 26 to 285 of the family's 1533-position model. The record is from RNAcentral.
AGAAUCAACGCUGGCGGCGUGCCUAACACAUGCAAGUCGAACGAGAAAGUGGAGCAAUCCAUGAGUACAGUGGCGCACGGGUGAGUAACACGUGACUAACCUACCCUUGAGUGGGGAAUAAACCUGGAGAAAUCUAGGCUAAUACCGCAUAACACCUACGGGUCAAAGGAGCAAUUCGCUUAAGGAGGGGGUCGCGGCAGAUUAGCUAGUUGGCGGGGUAAUGGCCCACCAAGGCAGUGAUCUGUA